Molecule: ribosomal RNA, 544 nt
Filed under: Enterococcus hirae
Lineage: Bacteria; Bacillati; Bacillota; Bacilli; Lactobacillales; Enterococcaceae
Description: bacterial SSU rRNA
Rfam family: Bacterial small subunit ribosomal RNA
Source: RNAcentral
CCCCAGAGAUGGGGCCUCCCUUCGGGGCGGGUUCACAGGUGGUGCAUGGUCGUCGUCAGCUCGUGUCGUGAGAUGUUGGGUUAAGUCCCGCAACGAGCGCAACCCUCGCCCUGUGUUGCCAGCACGUCGUGGUGGGAACUCACGGGGGACCGCCGGGGUCAACUCGGAGGAAGGUGGGGAUGACGUCAGAUCAUCAUGCCCCUUACGUCCAGGGCUUCACGCAUGCUACAAUGGCCGGUACAACGGGAUGCGACCUCGUGAGGGGGAGCGGAUCCCUUAAAACCGGUCUCAGUUCGGAUUGGAGUCUGCAACCCGACUCCAUGAAGGCGGAGUCGCUAGUAAUCGCGGAUCAGCAACGCCGCGGUGAAUGCGUUCCCGGGCCUUGUACACACCGCCCGUCAAGUCAUGAAAGUGGGUAGCACCCGAAGCCGGUGGCCCAACCUUUUUGGGGGGAGCCGUCUAAGGUGAGACUCGUGAUUGGGACUAAGUCGUAACAAGGUAGCCGUACCGGAAGGUGCGGCUGGAUCACCUCCUUUUUACGGAG